UUCGGCGUCGAGCGGCGGACGGGUGAGUAAUGCUUGGGAAUUUGCCCAGUCGAGGGGGAUAACCAUUGGAAACGAUGGCUAAUACCGCAUACGCCCUACGGGGGAAAGCAGGGGACCUUCGGGCCUUGCGCGAUUGGAUAAGCCCAAGUGAGAUUAGCUAGUUGGUGAGGUAAUGGCUCACCAAGGCGACGAUCUCUAGCUGGUCUGAGAGGAUGAUCAGCCACACUGGAACUGAGACACGGUCCAGACUCCUACGGGAGGCAGCAGUGGGGAAUAUUGCACAAUGGGCGAAAGCCUGAUGCAGCCAUGCCGCGUGUAUGAAGAAGGCCUUCGGGUUGUAAAGUACUUUCAGCAGUGAGGAAGGUGGUAAGACUAAUACUCU
RNAcentral lists this ribosomal RNA (382 nucleotides) under marine sediment bacterium ISA-1306. RNAcentral's name for it is "bacterial SSU rRNA". It matches the Rfam family "Bacterial small subunit ribosomal RNA", at positions 84 to 469 of the family's 1533-position model. The record is from RNAcentral.